GUGCUCGCUUCAGAGGCACAUAUACUAAAAUUGAAACGAGAUUAGCACGGCCCCUGCACAAGGAUAACAUGCAAAUUCGUGAAGCGUUAAAAAAAAAA
Molecule: small nuclear RNA, 98 nt
Filed under: Microtus ochrogaster (prairie vole)
Lineage: Eukaryota; Metazoa; Chordata; Mammalia; Rodentia; Cricetidae
Source: RNAcentral